This 425-nucleotide ribosomal RNA is filed under the name uncultured bacterium. RNAcentral's name for it is "bacterial SSU rRNA". It matches the Rfam family "Bacterial small subunit ribosomal RNA", at positions 354 to 796 of the family's 1533-position model. The record is from RNAcentral.
GUGGGGAAUAUUGGACAAUGGGCGCAAGCCUGAUCCAGCCAUGCCGCGUGAGUGAUGAAGGCCCUAGGGUUGUAAAGCUCUUUCACCGGAGAAGAUAAUGACGGUAUCCGGAGAAGAAGCCCCGGCUAACUUCGUGCCAGCAGCCGCGGUAAUACGAAGGGGGCUAGCGUUGUUCGGAAUUACUGGGCGUAAAGCGCACGUAGGCGGACAUUUAAGUCAGGGGUGAAAUCCCGGGGCUCAACCCCGGAACUGCCUUUGAUACUGGGUGUCUGGAGUAUGGAAGAGGUAAGUGGAAUUCCGAGUGUAGAGGUGAAAUUCGUAGAUAUUCGGAGGAACACCAGUGGCGAAGGCGGCUUACUGGUCCAUUACUGACGCUUAGGUGCGAAAGCGUGGGGAGCAAACAGGAUUAGAAACCCGAGUAGUCC